This is a non-coding RNA of Xyrichtys novacula (pearly razorfish), 586 nucleotides long. The record is from the annotation of a GenBank genome assembly. NCBI's taxonomy places the organism in Eukaryota, Metazoa, Chordata, Actinopteri, Labriformes, Labridae.
CUUCUGUUUGAUUGUAUUUCUAUGAAGAAAUUAUCAUAAAUGUUCUUCCUUUAGCUGCGAAACUCCUCUGCACUCGGUGAUCGACUCGUCAGGGCUCUGUGUAUAGCUAACGUGCAGUGGUUACUAAAGUUGGUAUAACUAGAGAUGCAAGCGGUCGGCAACAUCCAUCUCUCGACGGGGUGUCUCGAUGUUACGUGUGUUUGACCUUAAAUUAAUUUUACGCCGGAAUGUCCCUUUAGGGCAAAAUAGGGCCCAAAUAGAAAAGAAGAAGAAGAAUGACUGACAGAACAAAUUACAACGCACUUACUAAGGGGGAACCACAGAAAAGAUAAGAUAUAAUGAGUGAUAACAGACGGGUUAUGUGAAAAAUGUUAAGUGUGAUUGACAGAAGGUAUUAUAUUAUGGAAAAUCAAAUUAGUCUGUCUGGAAGUAAGUGAAUCCCGGCAACACAGUCACAACAGAGCAACAGCAAAUGACCACACACAGCAAUCACUGAUGGCGUCACAGGGGGUAAAUGUCUGAAUUCACACCAGCUCCACCACACAGCUGUUUCAUCGAAGGAAGGGAAAACACAUUCAUCUUCCCA